The sequence is a transfer RNA, 53 nucleotides long. It matches the Rfam family "tRNA", at positions 20 to 71 of the family's 71-position model. From Rfam's summary of the family: Transfer RNA (tRNA) molecules are approximately 80 nucleotides in length. Their secondary structure includes four short double-helical elements and three loops (D, anti-codon, and T loops). The record is from Rfam.
AGAGCAGACGGCUCAUAACCGUCCGGUCGCAGGUUCGAGUCCUGCAAGGUCCA